AUAUCGCACGUGUCGUGUAGGUGAGAACCUGCGCUCAGGUUCGAGCCGAGCGAAGCGAGACAGCAACGCUUGCGUCGGCCCCGAAGGCUGGGCAUUCUGCAUGACCCGCUA
Molecule: small RNA, 111 nt
Filed under: Pectobacterium brasiliense
Lineage: Bacteria; Pseudomonadati; Pseudomonadota; Gammaproteobacteria; Enterobacterales; Pectobacteriaceae
Description: RtT sRNA
Rfam family: RtT RNA
About the family: This family represents a bacterial cis-regulatory element known as RtT RNA.
Source: RNAcentral